Long non-coding RNA from Myotis lucifugus (little brown bat), 2817 nucleotides. RefSeq lists it as uncharacterized. The record is from RefSeq and is a predicted model, not a curated record. The transcript has 2 exons. NCBI's taxonomy places the organism in Eukaryota, Metazoa, Chordata, Mammalia, Chiroptera, Vespertilionidae.
GCAUUCUAAGAAUUGUCAGAAAGGUGUCAUUGCUUUCUCAAAACUUAAGUCAUUUAAAUAUUUUUUAAAUUAUAAAAUAAAACAAUCUUAAAAAAAUAUACCUAAAUAUAUAUCCAGUUGGUACCAUAACAAUACAGCGAACUAUUCUUAUUGCUAUAAAGUUCAACAAUGUGUAUUUUUCUAAUGGGAUAUGUCCUAAAGUAAAAAGAGAACUGCAGAAAUCAUCUUACACUGUCUAUAAUGAUCAUGUUGGUGGCAGUGUUAGUGUUGUUAUUCUGAGAUUGUGUGGGAUAAAAAUACUGUAGGAUAAGGCAAGUGAAUAAUGUGGUAUUCUAAUCCUAUCAUUCUAUUUGUUGCUUAAGACUGGGAUUCUUCGAAAAAGAGAACAGAUUAUUGGUCAGCUGCUAGAGUACAUAAGAGACACAUUCUUAACAUUACAUGGUUUCUGGUUUUACGGAAAUGAAUUAUACCUAAAUCUGAUCAAGCAUCUACCAAGGAAAUAGGACAAAAAUGCCACUGAAGGGAUGCAAUUGGCAUGAUUAUUUCUUCAAUAAGUUGCAAGGGGGAAAAAGUGAUGGAGGGGAACUUAUAGAAUGAGACGUACUUAGGAGAUAUCAACCAGUCAUAAUGAUCGAACUGAUCUGGACCUUGAAUCAAAGAAACUUAAAAAUUGAAAAAAAUUAUAAUUUAUGACAACCAGAAAUUUGAAUACUGACUGGUUAAUGAUAUUAAGGAACUACUGUUAACUUUUCAGAUGUGAUAUGGUAUUUCAGCGAUGUUUAAUUUGGGGGGGGGAUAUUUAUUAACAUCUUUGAGUCUCAAUUUCCUUAUCUGUGUCAUUAACAAUUCAUAGAGUUUUAAGUGUUAAAUAAGAUAAAGCACUAAUAUAGAAAGUAUUUUAUGUACUCUCUGGCACAUAGUAGAUUUACAAUAUGUUUAGGCGAUUCAUUUAUUUAAUCUAUUAAAAAUAUUUAAAGAUAACAUGUAGGCUAACCGCCUUUCCAGCUUUCAAGCAUGUCUCUGAUGGGUCUGAUAGCAAUAGAAUAUUAGGGAUAAUUAAUGGCUUUAUAGUUAUUAGCGAUGGAUCUGAUUUUCUUUUAUCAAAUACAAUAUUAUCAAGAGUCCCAAACACAUAAAAUAAAAGCUGAGACACUUUGAAUUCAAGGCAGCAAUGGUAUCCCUUUCAUGGUAUGAUCCAACACAGAAUUUAAACAUCUCAGUUUUUUGAAUUAUGUCUGAGUUAUUGCUAAUUUUGAAUUAAUUGAGAGCCUUGAUUUAAUUUAUUUCAGAAGGGUGGAUUUCCUAUUAAAUCUCAGUAUCAACUAAACAUGUAUUAUGUAAUAUGUGCCAGUUAUUGUGCUGGUUGCUGCAAAGAUGCAGAGAUCUUUAUUUUCAGGAGCUCACAAUCUAGGGAAGACAGCCAGGUAAGUAUGUUAUUGCAGAAAAUAUGAUAUAUUGCAUAUAUUCACAAAUGAUCAUCUUAAGAAGGAAGUUACUAAGAUGAAACCCUUUCACGUAAAGAGAAAAACUAUGUGCAAAAGCUCCUGACUUCCAGAACAUUACACUGGUCUGUUUUUCUCCAACUGUACUUACUGCUUCUCAGUUUCUUUUGCUGGUUUCUUCUCACAUUUCUUACAUUGAAUAGUUGGAAUUUCAUAUAUAUAUAUAUUCACUUCAUAGAUCAACUUAUAUAUAUAUUAUUUAUAAGAUAAUGACUCCCAAACAUAUAACAACAGCCCAAACAUAUAACCUCACCUCUCUCCUAAUUUCCAAACUGUGUUUCAUCUCUAUUUGGGUAUCUAAAAAAGCCUCUGAAGUCAGCUCCUCUUUUUGUCUCCACAUCUCAGUUAAUGACAACUCAGUUCUAGUUCUUCAGGCUAAAGUCCCUUGAUGUCAUCCUUGACUCAGUUCUCUCCCUCGCCCUGUCCCCUUCCUCUCUCCCUUUCUUCCUCUCUCUAUCCCCCUCCCUUCUUCCUUUUCCCCUCCUCCCUUCCCCCCCUCUCUCCCUCUCUCCUCUCUCGUCUCUCCUCUCUCCUCUUUGUCUUUGUCUCCAUAUCUGUUCUUCCAAAAUUUCUGUCAGUUCUAACUUCAAAAUAUAUUCAGAAUUUGACCCCUUUUCACCAUCUCCAUUCCUGUCUGGUAUUUUUGUUCCCUGCAGGCUAUUCUCAGCAGAGAAACGGGGUGAUUCUAUUAAAGGAUGUCAUAUUGUGUCAUCCCUCCAUUCCAGUGCUUCUCAGCUGGAGGGAUAUAUUGCUCUCCUGGGGAAAUUGGUGAUCAAUGUCAAGACAUUUUUGGUCAUCAGGACUGCCUGUGAGGGAGUUCCUCUACCCACUAUACCUGGAGGCAACAUGAUGAGUCAGGGAAUCAGCAGUCCUAAGUCAAAAACCCUCCAUGGAGUUAUACAAUACACAGCCCAUGGUUGAUGGCCUGAGACUUGGAACACCUGCUGGCUGGAAUGGUGUGCUCUGAGCCGAGCUACUGCAUGUAUUGGACAGCUCCUGAACGAUCACUUCUUUAUAGAUUUUGCUCAUCUUUGUGCACUUCCUGUGGCAUGGACUUUUCUUUGAGAGGUUAGUUAAGGCCUCCCUUAUUUGUUAGUAAUGGGAAAGAUCUUCCAGGAUACCAGGGACUCAUAUGGAUGGGGCCAUUUAGCUUCUAUUGAAAGCCCCUCUUUUCAUAUUCUUAAUGGUUAAUUUAAGCUAGAAAAAUCAUGUCUGCCUUGCCCAUAUAACAACUAAUCAAACUGUUAGCUAUUUCUAGUCAUGAUGAGAACUGUAAAUUUUCUUUGAAUAAAAUCACUAACUUCUGUUGAGUGAA